RNAcentral lists this small RNA (284 nucleotides) under Pongo abelii (Sumatran orangutan). RNAcentral describes it as "processed transcript". The record is from RNAcentral. Lineage: Eukaryota; Metazoa; Chordata; Mammalia; Primates; Hominidae.
GAAACACCUCCCUUCUCCAACAAAAGACCUGAUGAAUUUAUAGAAUGUGAAGACCCAGUGGAUCAUGUUGGAAAUGCAACUGCAUCCCAGGAACUUGGUUAUGGUUGUCUCAAGUUCGGCGGUCAGGCCUACAGCGAUGUGGAACACACUUCAGUCCAGUGCCAUGCCUUAGAUGGAAUUGAGUGUGCCAGUCCUAGGACCUUUCUACGAGAAAAUAAACCUUGUAUAAAGUAUACUGGACACUACUUCAUAACCACUUUACUCUACUCCUUCUUCCUGGGAUG